Molecule: long non-coding RNA, 521 nt
Organism: Conger conger (European conger)
Lineage: Eukaryota; Metazoa; Chordata; Actinopteri; Anguilliformes; Congridae
Exons: 3
Source: RefSeq, a predicted model, not a curated record
GACAGGUUUGGUUGAUCUCCUGGUAUUUUCAUGCACAACUGUCUCUAGAGUUUGCAGAGAAUGGUACAACAAACAUCCAGUGAGUUCUGCGGGCAGAAACGUGUUGUUAAUGAGAGGAAAGCAGAAUUUCCCCUUGUGAGAGGUGGCUCAACAGUGUCCUCCAUAAACUCCAUGAAGACAGACAGAAUGAAGAAACCACUGGAGACACCGUCACCAUGGUAAAUGAAGUCUGCGCUUACCGUGAGAGAGGCGCGUCCAGCGACGAGGUCUGCUUUGUGACCGGGAGCCCGGCGGGGCCGGGCAGCGAGAGCUGCUCCUCCCCGCAGUAACAGCACUCCCGUGGCCCCUAAUGAAGCCUGCGCUUUGAAGCCGCCCUUCCUGGGUCCCACUGAAAGCAUGUGUUAAUGCAACAAAAGGUGACGGAUCGUACGCCUUCGCCGAGGAGAGAGAGGUGCGAGGGGCCACCCAUGACAAGGCUGGCUGGUCGUCCCCGUCAGAUCUGACCCCGCCGUCAGCAGAUU